This 425-nucleotide ribosomal RNA is filed under the name uncultured bacterium. RNAcentral's name for it is "partial 16S ribosomal RNA". It matches the Rfam family "Bacterial small subunit ribosomal RNA", at positions 354 to 796 of the family's 1533-position model. The record is from RNAcentral.
GUGAGGAAUUUUCCGCAAUGGGCGAAAGCCUGACGGAGCAAUGCCGCGUGAAGGAUGAAGGCCUAUGGGUUGUAAACUUCUUUUCUCAGAAAAGAAUUAUGACGGUAUCUGAGGAAUAAGCAUCGGCUAACUCUGUGCCAGCAGCCGCGGUAAGACAGAGGAUGCAAGCGUUAUCCGGAAUGAUUGGGCGUAAAGCGUCUGUAGGUUGUUUAAAAAGUAUUCUGUCAAAGAUUAGGGCUUAACCCUAGAUAGGCAGAAUAAACUUUUAAGCUAGAGUUUGGUAGAGGCAGAGGGAAUUCCCGGUGGAGCGGUGAAAUGCGUAGAUAUCGGGAGGAACACCAAAGGCGAAGGCACUCUGCUGGGCCAAUACUAACACUGAGAGACGAAAGCGAGGGGAGCAAAUGGGAUUAGAAACCCUAGUGUCC